Molecule: ribosomal RNA, 599 nt
Filed under: uncultured bacterium
Lineage: Bacteria
Description: bacterial SSU rRNA
Rfam family: Bacterial small subunit ribosomal RNA
Source: RNAcentral
AGAGUUUGAUUCUGGCUCAGGAUGAACGCUAGCGGCAGGCCUAACACAUGCAAGUCGAGGGGUAUAUGCUUUCGGGUAUAGAGACCGGCGCACGGGUGCGUAACGCGUAUGCAAUCUACCUUUUACAGGGGAAUAGCCCAGAGAAAUUUGGAUUAAUGCCCCAUGGUAUAUUUUAGUGGCAUCACUAGAUUAUUAAAGUUCCAACGGUAAAAGAUGAGCAUGCGUCCCAUUAGUUAGUUGGUAAGGUAACGGCUUACCAAGACGAUGAUGGGUAGGGGUCCUGAGAGGGAGAUCCCCCACACUGGUACUGAGACACGGACCAGACUCCUACGGGAGGCAGCAGUGAGGAAUAUUGGACAAUGGGCGCAAGCCUGAUCCAGCCAUGCCGCGUGCAGGAAGACGCAUCUAUGGUGUGUAAACUGCUUUUGUACGGGAAGAAACACUCCUACGUGUAGGAGCUUGACGGUACCGUAAGAAUAAGGAUCGGCUAACUCCGUGCCAGCAGCCGCGGUAAUACGGAGGAUCCAAGCGUUAUCCGGAAUCAUUGGGUUUAAAGGGUCCGUAGGCGGUUUAAUAAGUCAGUGGUGAAAUCUGGUCGC